UUUUUUUUUUUUUUUGAGAUGGAGUCUCGCUCUGUCACCCAGGCUGGAGUGCAGUGGCGCAAUCUCAGCUCACUGCAGGCUCCGCCUCCCAGGUUCACACCAUUCUCCUGUCUCAGCCUCCUGAGUAGCUGAGGCGAGAAGAUCCCUUUAGCCAAGGCGUUAGAGGCCGUAGUGAGCUAUGAUCAUGCCACUGCACUGUAGCCUAGGUGACAGAGUGUGACCUCAUCUCAAAAAAAAGAAGAAAAGAUCCAGACAUUUAAGGAAAUUUCUGUCAGGUUACAGGCUGACCAGAGACAAUAAAAAGACCAAGAACCUCAGGAAUACAGACUUCGCAAAAAUAACUUGGAAAAUUCACUACACAAAUGAACUGCAGCCCUCAACAAGUAACAGAAGCAAUCCCUGAGGAGAGGGAUAAUCUGAUUUCCAGAGCUACUGCAGUGUCAUAUUCAAACUGUACAGUCCUCAACACAAAAUUACAAAGCACACAAAUAAAAUGGAAAAUAUGGCUGACUUAUGGGAAGAAAAGAAUAUGACAGAAACUGUCACUGAGGGACCCCAGAUAUUAGAAUUACUAGUCAAAGAUGUUCAUCAACUGUAUUAAUAUGCUCAGAGGGCUAGCGGAAACCACGGAAAACGGACUAAAAGAACUAGGAGAGCGAUGUAUGAACAAACAGAAACUGUCAACAGAGAUAGAAAUGAUAACAAGGAACCAAAUAGAAACUCGGGAACUGAAAAACACAAUAGCUGAAAUUAAAGCAUUCACUGGAAGGAUUCAGCAGCAGACUUGAGCAGGCAGAAUUAGCAAAGGUGAAGAGAAGGCAGUUGAACUUAUCCAGUCUGAGGAGCACAAGUAAGAAAAGAACAGAACCUACGGGACCCAUGGGACACCAUCAGAAAUACCAAUGCACGCAUAUAGGAAUCCCAACAAGAGAGAAAAAGGGAAAACAAAACAAAACAAAAAAACAAACAAAAAACCCUAAAGAAAUAAUGGCCGGGAAAUGAGGAAGCACAUCAAAAGCCAAAAUGGGCCAAAUGCCAGGCCUCUUGCACCAAACAGUUGGCCAAGUUGUGAAUGCAAAGGAAAAGUUAUUGAAGGAAAUUAAAAGAGCUUCUCCAUUAAACACACACAAAAAAGUGAAACAGCCUUAUUGCGGCGGAUAGGGAGAAGGUUUGAGUGAUCUGGAUACGAGAUCAAAUGAGAU
Molecule: long non-coding RNA, 1202 nt
Organism: Homo sapiens (human)
Lineage: Eukaryota; Metazoa; Chordata; Mammalia; Primates; Hominidae
Source: Ensembl